GCCUAACACAUGCAAGUCGAGCGGUAAGGCCCCUUCGGGGGUACACGAGCGGCGAACGGGUGAGUAACGCGUGGGUAAUCUACCUAGAAGUGGGGGAUAGCCUCGGGAAACCGGGGGUAAUACCGCAUGUGCCUAGUGACGGCGCGAGCCGACCGAGGGAAAGGCGGGGAUCCUUCGGGACCUGUCGCUUCUGGGUGAGCCCGCGUCCGAUUAGCUAGUUGGCGGGGUAAUGGCCCACCAAGGCAUCGAUCGGUAGCCGGCCUGAGAGGGUGUUCGGCCACAUUGGGACUGAGACACGGCCCAGACUCCUACGGGAGGCAGCAGUGGGGAAUUUUGGGCAAUGGGCGCAAGCCUGACCCAGCGACAGCCGCGUGGGGGAUGAAGGCCUUCGGGUUGUAAACCCCUGUCAGGUGGGAACGAAAGUCUUGGCGGUUAAUAGCUGUCAAGGCCUGACGGUACCACCAAAGGAAGCCCCGGCUAACUCCGUGCCAGACAGCCGCGGUAAUACGGAGGGGGCAAGCGUUAUUCGGAAUUACUGGGCGUAAAAGCGCACGU
Molecule: ribosomal RNA, 555 nt
Filed under: uncultured bacterium
Lineage: Bacteria
Description: bacterial SSU rRNA
Rfam family: Bacterial small subunit ribosomal RNA
Source: RNAcentral